GCCGCGGUAAAACCAGCACCUCAAGUGGUCAGGAGGAUUAUUGGGCCUAAAGCAUCCGUAGCCUGUUCUAUAAGUUUGCGGUUAAAUCUAUACGCUCAACGUAUAGGCUGCCGUAAAUACUGUAGAACUAGGGAGUGGGAGAGGUAGACGGUACUCGAUAGGAAGGGGUAAAAUCCUUUGAUCUAUUGAUGACCACCUGUGGCGAAGGCGGUCUACCAGAACACGUUCGACGGUGAGGGAUGAAAGCUGGGGGAGCAAACCGGAUUAGAUACCCGGGUAGUCCCAGCUGUAAACGAUGCAGACUCGAUGAUGCAAUGGCAUAGAGCUAUUGCAGUAUCGCAGGGAAGCCGUUAAGUCUGCCGCCUGGGAAGUACGUACGCAAGUAUGAAACUUAAAGGAAUUGGCGGGGGAGCACGGUCAUACUGGUUUCCUGA
RNAcentral lists this ribosomal RNA (434 nucleotides) under crenarchaeote SCGC AAA008-N10. RNAcentral's name for it is "SSU rRNA". It matches the Rfam family "Archaeal small subunit ribosomal RNA", at positions 464 to 898 of the family's 1478-position model. Lineage: Archaea; Thermoproteati; Thermoproteota. The record is from RNAcentral.